GAUGAACGCUGGCGGCGUGCCUAAUACAUGCAAGUCGAGCGAACAGAUGAGGAGCUUGCUCCUCUGACGUUAGCGGCGGACGGGUGAGUAACACGUGGAUAACCUACCUAUAAGACUGGGAUAACUUCGGGAAACCGGAGCUAAUACCGGAUAAUAUAUUGAACCGCAUGGUUCAAUAGUGAAAGACGGUUUUGCUGUCACUUAUAGAUGGAUCCGCGCCGCAUUAGCUAGUUGGUAAGGUAACGGCUUACCUAGGCAACGAUGCGUAGCCGACCUGAGAGGGUGAUCGGCCACACUGGAACUGAGACACGGUCCAGGCUCCUACGGGAGGCAGCAGUAGGGAAUCUUCCGCAAUGGGCGAAAGCCUUACGGAGCAACGCCGCGUGAGUGAUGAAGGUCUUCGGAUCGUAAAACUCUGUUAUUAGGGAAGAGCAAAUGUGUAAGUAACUGUGCACGUCUUGACGGUACCUAAUCAGAAAGCCCCGGCUAACUACGUG
This 497-nucleotide ribosomal RNA is filed under the name uncultured bacterium. RNAcentral describes it as "partial 16S ribosomal RNA". It matches the Rfam family "Bacterial small subunit ribosomal RNA", at positions 28 to 507 of the family's 1533-position model. The record is from RNAcentral.